RNAcentral lists this long non-coding RNA (5502 nucleotides) under Prunus persica (peach). RNAcentral describes it as "long non-coding RNA (PPER_LNC007442)". The record is from RNAcentral. Lineage: Eukaryota; Viridiplantae; Streptophyta; Magnoliopsida; Rosales; Rosaceae.
GUCCUGGUCGAAUGGACGUCCACAUUCACAUGUCGUAUUGCACUCCACAUGCGUUUAGGGUCUUGGCCUCCAACUACCUUGGCAUUCAAGACUUGAAUCAUCAUGGCCUUUACGGAGAAAUCACAGGCUUGCUAGAGAGCACAGAGGUCACCCCUGCUGAGGUCUGUGAGCAACUGUUGAAGAGAGAUGAUGAUGUUGACGACGAUGAUGCUGAUGCUGCUCUUGCUGGACUUGUCAACUUUCUCAAACUCAAGAAGCUUGAAGAGACUAAUAAUAUUGAUAAACCAGAAACUCAAGAAGGAUCUCAAUGUUAAUGAUGAUGACGGUGACAACUCCUCCACCUAGCAUGAGCUAGGGCAGUAGAAUAAGUUGGUGUCAUUUGUCCCAUCUGAUUAUGAAGUAAUGUAUGGUUAUAUUCAGACUCUUCCCUUUUUUUUCUUUCUUAAUUAUAGCGUACCUACCAAAGUAGAGAAAUUAUGUGGAAAAAGACCUGCAAACAGAGACCUUGACUUUUGGUCAACAAGGAAGGCAAAGAGAAGCGACCACCAGCAUUUGAUGGAAAUUUCUGUUCUUAUACGACUUCUAACAAGUCUCGUUGACUUAGGGUCCCUUUUUGGGGUUGACACGUAAUUGUGACCAUAAGGAAAAUUCUACCAUGUUGCAUUUUCUGAAACGAAAUCCAUACCAAAUGAUCUUUCUGAACCUCUUAACUAUACCUCUGCAGAAGUCUUGGCAAUCUUGCUCUGAUCAAACAUGAUCCAAUGGUGUGCAGAGAAAAUUACAAAAGUGACAAACGUAAUAAGUUUCACUUCCCCCUGGCUCAAUUCUACUUUUUUCUUACAUCCUUAAUCAACCAAUGCAAAUAUAUUCCAUUCCUUAUCAGUUGUCCCAUUAAUAUAUUUAUGAAAUACCAUAUCAGUUUGCAAACAUUUUUAGAUUUGGUUGAGCUUGAGACAUGGUUGUUCAAGGGAAUAAGGGGAUUGAGAAUUGUUGAUUUUCAAGUAGGAGUUGGAGACGGUGUUGUUCAACCUCACAACUUAAUAAGCAUAUAUACUUCCACAAUCAACGCCACCUCACUCGAUCAACACUUGAUUUCGUUGAAUUAAACUAAUUUCUCUUGUAUUAAGAUACCAAGUUGACAACUCCUAAAUUAUCUUCUAAGUUUAUUGCCCUGCUAGCACUUGGUAUCGAUUCGAAGUUGCUAGGCUAGUUUAUUUUCCUAAAAUCGGUUCAUCAGUCUGUCAAUUCCUCACUUACUUUCUAUGUAAGUUAUUGUUUAUAAUUAAUUGAAUCGAGAAAUCUUCUGUUUAUUUGUGAAUUUUUAUUUUUAGAAAAAUUCCAUGUAUGAGGUUAAGUGCAUCUCUUAAUUAGAACAUCUAUAGUGGGGUGAUGUAUAAUAGGAUGUAUGUUAAAUAUACACCCGUUAUGAUCGGAAUUACUCGUAAUAAGGGUGUAAAUAAAUGUAUAAUUACAUCACCACCAUGAGAUGUAAAUUUAGAUGCAAUUGUACAUAUUUUUUUACAUUCCCAUUGCGGAUGGAACCCAACUGAAAAAAAAAGAGGAAAAAUAGAGAAAAGUCAGAAUAAAAAGGUGGGACCCAGCUAACAACAAUGGUGCAUGCAACGGUAUGGCUCGAUUUUGUCCUCAUCCCAUUUCUUCCUUUUUUUAAUUCAACUUGUUUCCACGGUCUCUCCCAUCUCUCUACUUUUGAUAUUUAUUUAUAAUUUCAUAUAUAUAUAUAUAUAUAUAAUUAAAUUAAUAAUUUACUUACUUUCCAACCUUAAGACGGAGACUCGGUAUAGAGAAAUUAUUGUAUGAUAUCGUAUCAUCACUUCAAUUGAUGAUACUUCCGUUUAUCUUUCAUAGAAGAUUAUAACCUUUUUUUUAAAGCAUAAUUAAAAACAUCAAUUUCACCUUUUUGAAUAAACUUUUUUAAAAAGCUUUAAUUGUUUUAGAAAAUGACAUAUUGCACAUUUUUAGAUUAAAUGUACUUUACAAUCCAACGAUUCUUUUUUAAUGAAAUUAUAUUUUCUCCAAAUUCAAAUAUUUUUAGGUCUAUUUGUUUGAAAAAAUAAAAUUAACCUAAUACAAAAAAAAAAUUAAUUUUAUAAAGUAAACACAAAAUAUAAAUUUAACACAAAAACAAAUUAAGACAAACAAAUCAAUUAUACAUCUUUAGAUUUACUUCGUUUUUUAUUGGAGAAAAAAACGUAUUUACACUUCCCGAAUGUGUAAAGGAGAUAUAAAAGUGUCUUUACACCCCCGAAAAUACACCUCCUACUGUAGAAGCUCUUAGGUAUUUGAUAAUUUUUUGAUUUUGUGUUAUGUUGACAUUUGCAGUUCACACUCUCGGGCCUACUAAACUUCAUGGAUGGUCUGUGGUCAAGUUGCGGUGAUGAAAGAAUUAUUGUGUUCACAACAAACCACAAGGAUGACGAUGAUGAUGCUGCUCUUGUAAGAGUUGUCAAGGUCACCCCUGCUGAGAUUUGUGAGGAAGUACUGAAGAAAAAUGACGAGGACGAGGACGACGAUGAUGAUGCUGCUCUCGAAAGAGUUGUCGACCUUCUCAAACUUGAGAAGCUUGAAGGGACUAAUAAUAUUGAAAAGACAGAAAUGCAAGCAGAAAAAAGGCAGGAAAAUGGAUCUCAGGUGAAUGAUGAAAGUGACAACUCAUGCAUCCAACAUGAGCUAUAGCGAUCCCCUUUUAGAUAAGUCUUUUUGUUAUUAGUACUUUUGUAGGAAAAGAAAUCUGGAUGUCAAGUACUCUAAUCCCAGUUUUGUUUGGUGUCCUGUCAGGUGUUGUCCUAUUAUCCUAUCUGAUUAUGAUGUAAUCACUUUGGUUAUAUCGAUAAAUAAAGUAAGUAAUGGUAUGGUUAGUUCAAAUUCUAUUCAAACUCUAAUAUUAUUUUCUUUCACGAAUGUGCGCUAGCAACAUAUAUACAUAAGGUGGUGUGGUGUUUUUGUUGUUAAGAGGUAGAAAGAAAAUUUACUCGCACACACACAAGUGCCUAGAAAUUUCGAAUAUGAGAUGAUUGGUCUUAAGUCAAACAUACUUUUUCACUACGGUAUGAUCCUAUUAGCUUCAUACUCUCUUGUUUCACUCUAGAGUGCAAGUGGCUACUUUUGAAAUGAAAUAAUUAACAACAGUUACUUUCUUAAUUAUAUCAUAGUUUACUUACCAAAGUGGAGAAGAUUUAUAUUUUUUGUUGUACUUCUUCAUAGGUUUUGAAUUUUGAUGCAACCAGAAGCUUUUUGUGUGUGUUGUUGCAUGUGAAUGGCGGGAAAAGAAUGGCAACUGUGUGAAAUUGAUCAAGUUAAGAUCAAUCCGGUAUGAUUGAAAACAUCAAAGCCAUCAAAUUAGUCAUGGUCUGCUCUAGGUUUCUUUAUUCAUUUUGGCCUCAAAUAUUAAAUACAUGUGUUUAAAAAGCAAUAACAAUCUAAUCAAAUAACUCACCCAACCCAACUCCUACGUUCAACGUAUAGUCCUAACACAAUCAAAUGUUUUAUUGAAUAUUUAUCCAGAGACUUACCUAUAAACUAGGUCACCUAGCACACUAAAAAAAAAAACCACGUACAGUAAAAAAAAGAUAUCUAGCAUAAGGAGAAAUUCGACCAAAACAAAAAAAAAUAGCAUAAGGAGAAAAAAGAGGGACUAUUGUCAACUAAACGACAAUAACCUACACAAAACACAAUGCACGCGGUUUUGACUGGUGGUGUACAAGUAGACUUCUUUGUCGAUCUUGCCAUGUGCAAUUGUCUGUGGCUGUGGUUUCACUAGUACUGUAUAUGAAUUUACCCCCCAAGUAACAAACCUCAAAUAUAUAUCCCCAAAUUUGAUUAAAAAAUCCCCCAACAAGAACAUCUCCUUCUUCUUCUUCUUCUUCUUCUUCUUCUUCUCAACCUCUGCCUUGCUUACCUUGCAUCCAUCCAUCCGCCAUGAAUUUCAUCGUGGAGGAACUCAUGCUUUUCAUUUCCACUGCCCUCAAUUACCUUGCUACCCUUUUCUCCCCUGGCCAUUAUCAUCAUGACCUCACUUUCAUCAUCCGCCAGAAGAGCACGCCACCCAACCAAGUCUACGACGCCGCCGAGCUCUACCUCCCAUCCAUCGAGUUGAUCAAUCCCUCCACUCGUACUAUCGGCGUCAGCAAAACACCGCGGCAAGAAGCCGUCAAGCUUGCCAUGGAAAGCGGUGAGCAGAUCGCCGACACCUUUGAGGACAUUAACCUCAACUGGCUCUACGUGGUCCAAACAUUCCCGAGCGGCCAGGUAACACGUCGCUUCGAGCUAACCUUCCACAAGAAACACAAAGACAAAGUCCUGACCUCCUACUUGCGCCAUGUGGUUACUCGGGCUGAAGCCAUUAAAAAAGAGGAAAAGAUUCUCAAACUUCGUAGCGUUAACUCACCAUCACGAGUGGAUCUGGAGCACCCAGCCACGUUCGAGACGAUCGCCAUGGGGCCCGACCAGAAGACAAAGAUUAUAAAGGACUUGGACAGGUUUGUGAGGAGGAGGGAGUUUUAUAAGAAGGUGGGCAAGGCUUGGAAAAGAGGCUACUUAUUGUAUGGCCCUCCUGGGACUGGCAAAUCCAGCUUGAUUGCAGCCAUGGCUAAUCAUCUCAAGUUUGACGUGUAUGAAUUGGAGCUUGAUGGUAUUUACAGUGACUCUCAAUUGAAGAGCGUGUUACUGUCCACUGCAAAUCGUUCUAUUUUGGUCAUUGAGGAUAUUGAUUUCAGCGCCGUUAAUGCGCGAAAACGAAAGUGCGGGGUUAGUACCUACCUAUACCUACCUAAAUUUUUCUGUGAAUUAGGUGUUCGAUAAUUUUUGGUUUAUUUUUUGGUGUAACAUAGUAAAAAUUUAAUUACUAUGCUGAUAUUUGCAGAUCACGGUCUCAGGCCUGCUAAACUUCAUGGAUGGUCUGUGGUCGAGCUGCGGUGACGAGAGAAUUAUUGUGUUCACAACAAACCACAAGGAUCGGCUUGAGCCUGCAUUACUGCGUCCUGGUCGAAUGGACGUCCACAUUCACAUGUCCUAUUGCACUCCGCAUGCGUUUAAGGUUUUGGCCUCCAACUACCUUGGUGUUCAGGACUUGGACCGUCAUCCUCUUUAUGGAGAAAUCGCGGGGUUGCUAGAGAGCACAGAGGUCGCCCCUGCUGAGGUUUGUGAGGAGCUAUUGAAGAGAGAUGAUGAUGUUGACGAUGAUGAUGUUGAUGCUGCUCUCGAAGGAGUUGUCAAAUUUCUCAAACUCAAGAAGCUUGAAGGGGAUAAUAAUAAUAUUGAUGAACCAGAAUUUCAAGAAGGAAAAAGGCAGGAUGUGGAUGUCAGUGUUAACGAUGACGACAGUGAGAGCUCAAGCACCUGAAAUAAUCGACCAUAGCUUUAUCUAGCUAGGCAGUAGAAUAAGUUGCAUCUUCCGAUGGCCUAGCUAGUCCCUUUGGCUUUAAGUACUUUUGUCUUUGAGUUUAAGUACUUUUGUAUUUGGUUUUGUUUGGUGUUAUGUUUCUC